Molecule: long non-coding RNA, 1979 nt
Filed under: Mus musculus (house mouse)
Lineage: Eukaryota; Metazoa; Chordata; Mammalia; Rodentia; Muridae
Description: long non-coding RNA chr10:63006280-63008259
Source: RNAcentral
AAUAAAUAAAUAAAUCUUUAAAAAAAAAAAAGGAUCUUUAAAAAAUAAUAAAAGAGCUAGGUAUGGAAGCACACAAUUGUUCUGGUGGUGUUUUUCUUGAGUUUUUCCAUGUAGCUUUUGGCUGUCAGGGAACUAACUCUGUAGACCAGGCUGGCCUUGAACUCAAGAGCUCCACCUGCCUCUGCCUCCUGAGUGCUGAAGUUAAAGGCGUGGGCCACCAGGAUGGCCCUGCACACUUGUAACCCAGUGCUUAGGAGGUGGGCGCAGGAGAACUAGGAUUUGAAGGCUACACUUAGAUACAGGAGACGUUAUCACACACUGAGCUUCUAUGUUUGCCAUUCAAGGGUGCAGCUGGAAACGGACUUGAAGAUCGAGAAGGAAUGGAGACAGACUUUGCAAGAAGAUCUUCAAAAGGAAAAAGAUGUCCUAUCUCAUCUUAGACAUGAAACCCAAAAAGUCAUAAGUCUUAAAAAAGUAAAUAGUGGUAAAACUUUAAAUUUUACAACUUGACAAGUUGCUGGAAGCAGGAUUUCAUAAUAUAGUUCAGACUAUCUUUGAACUCUAGAGCAAAAUCUGGCUUUGAACUCACAGCAGUUCUGUCUCUGCCUCAGGAGUGCUGGGACUAAGGCAUGAGCCACUGUGCCCGACUUCUCGUUAGCUUUUAUAAAUGAUUUGGGGGCGGAGGGGAUGGCUGUCAGUAAAGUGUCUGUAGGACCUAGUCUCGGGUCUGAGGAGGCAUCCCUGGCACUGACCAGCCAGUCUAGCCUACUUUGUGAGCUUCUGGCCAGUGAAAGGCUGUGUCUCAAAGGAAGUGGUAGGCAGUCUUAAGUACAACCAGGGCUAUCGUCCAACCUCCACACAAAGACAUACAUCUUUUAAGACAAGAUACUUUAAACAAUUUACAUAUAUACGAAUAAACAGGAUAUAGUGGUCCUCUUAGGAAUAUGAUGAGUAAGGAGGUUGUACUGAGUAGGCUGAGGCAGGAGAAUCGGGAAGUUGAGGCUAGCCUAGUUAGAGUGACAUCCAGGACAGUUUGAGCUAGGAUUCCAGCUCAUACACGGUAGUUCAGAACCAUCUCUAGCUCCAGCUGCAGGUCUGAUGCCUUCUUCUAGCCUCUGGGCAUCAAGCAUGCACAUGGAGACACACGCAUGCACGCAGGCAAGAACACUCACACAUGCACAUCUUUUUUACAAGAGAGAAAUGGAGGGAGGUAGAAAGUGUCUGAAAAUUCCUUCCUUAUCCGAGCUUGACAGAAUACUCCUGUAAUGCCAGCACUCGGGACAUAAAAGCACAAUCAGAACAAAGAUAUUUACACUUUCCUACUUAGUGAUACAUAUGUAAUUUGGAGGGCUUUUUUCUCCUUUUAAGUUAUAUUUUCUGUUUUCUACUGAAGGAGUUUCUUAACCUCCAGGAUGAAAAUCAGCAGUUGAAAAGGAUUUAUCAGGAACAAGAACAAGCUCUGCAAGAACUUGGCAGCAAACUCUGCGAGUAAUUCCUCUCUUCCUUCAGCUAAGUGCUCACAAACGGGUGAAAGGCACACACAUCAGCUGUGCAGAGGGCUACUUGAGUAUGGGGAUAAAAACCAAGGCUAGAUACUUUGGAGGGAUUUCAGUAGUUCUGUGCAUUCCAGUAGACACUGGCUCUGAAGGGUUCCAGUAAGUGAGAGCAAAAACUAUUGCUUGAGUUCUUCAGUGAUAAAGACUCCAGAAACUUAAUUUUGUCGGGACAACAAAAGCUGAAUUUUGAAAAUGUCCAGGGCUUUCAGACUAUUGACAGAGCAGGUUUGUUGGGAAGUAAAUGUAGUUUCUAUCCUACAGGGGUCAGUGUGAUUCUGUAGUAGAAUGCUAUUGGGAUCCAUAGUGAAAAGGAAGCCAGGAAAGGCUGUAAUCUCAGCACCUGGAAGGGAGACAGGAAGGUCCGGAAUUCAAGCCAUCCUCAGUUACACAAAGAAUCAGGGCCAGCCUUGAGAGCAUGCCUUU